RNAcentral lists this unclassified non-coding RNA (221 nucleotides) under plant metagenome. RNAcentral describes it as "partial contains small subunit ribosomal RNA and internal transcribed spacer 1". The stretch from base 1 to 46 matches the Rfam family "Eukaryotic small subunit ribosomal RNA", at positions 1786 to 1831 of the family's 1831-position model. The record is from RNAcentral.
AAGUCGUAACAAGGUUUCCGUAGGUGAACCUGCGGAAGGAUCAUUAAAAAGCUUGCGAGGGGGCUUUGCCUCCAACGCAUCCAUCCUAUGACUAUAUACCUAGUUGCUUUGGCGGCGCCUGGGCGUAACGCCCCGGUGGCUUUAACCACCGAGUGCCCGCCAGAGGUCAAUCAAACUCUUGUUUAAACACUGCCGUCCGAUACACAAAACAAUAGCUAAAA